This 477-nucleotide ribosomal RNA is filed under the name uncultured bacterium. RNAcentral's name for it is "bacterial SSU rRNA". It matches the Rfam family "Bacterial small subunit ribosomal RNA", at positions 8 to 482 of the family's 1533-position model. The record is from RNAcentral.
AGAGUUUGAUCCUGGCUCAGAUUGAACGCUGGCGGAAUGCUUUACACAUGCAAGUCGAGCGGCAGCGCGGGGCAACCUGGCGGCGAGCGGCGAACGGGUGAGUAAUGCAUCGGAACAUGUCCAUGUCGUGGGGGAUAGCCCGGCGAAAGCCGGAUUAAUACCGCAUACGCCCGAGAGGGGAAAGCCGGGGACCGCAAGGCCUGGCGCGAUUGGGUUGGCCGAUGUCCGAUUAGCUAGUUGGCGGGGUAAGAGCCCACCAAGGCGAUGAUCGGUAGCUGGUCUGAGAGGAUGAUCAGCCACACUGGGACUGAGACACGGCCCAGACUCCUACGGGAGGCAGCAGUGGGGAAUUUUGGACAAUGGGGGCAACCCUGAUCCAGCCAUUCCGCGUGAGUGAAGAAGGCCUUCGGGUUGUAAAGCUCUUUUGUCCGGAACGAAACGGUUGGCGUGAAUAUCGCCGACUACUGACGUACCGAA